This is an RNA transcript of Hypanus sabinus (Atlantic stingray), 13241 nucleotides long. RefSeq lists it as uncharacterized. Lineage: Eukaryota; Metazoa; Chordata; Chondrichthyes; Myliobatiformes; Dasyatidae. The record is from RefSeq and is a predicted model, not a curated record. The transcript is spliced from 5 exons.
CGGAGCUUCCAUUGUGUACUGCGCCUGCGAGGCUGAGCCGGGCGGUGCAGUGGAAGUCCAUAGCGGGGGUACUCCCUUCUGCCGCCGGCGUGGGAUGGCGAGUCUGUCGGGACCCUGGGGACUUGUGGAAACUGUGUGGAAGAUCAUCUUCUAUUGCCUGCAGAUUCAUUCCAAAUCUUCUUAUGGAAACCGUUAUAAUGUACUCACAGUGACUGCUCAAUGUACAAUACCCUGGUCAGAUAGAAUGGGAAGCUGAUGCACUGCUGAAUACUUCAGGCUACCAUUGUGAGAAUAGGAGAAAUGUUCAGUGUGGGCCCAAUGGUAUUAAUGCAAAGAAAGUAUCUCCCAACUGGUGAAUAUCUUUACUGAUGGUUGCUGCCUUCUUGAAGAUCCAUCUCAUAAAGAUGUACUCGACGGCAGGGAGGAUUAUACCCGGGAUGGAACUGGCUCAGUCUGUAAACCUCUGUAGCCUCUUGUGAUUGUAUUCAGUUUAUGAACCUCCACACCAUACUGUGAUACAACCAGUCAGAAUGUUCUCCUCCUUACAUCUGCAGAAAUUUUUAAAAGGCUUUGGUGACAUACCAACUCCUCUCAAACUCCCAAUGAACUAGAGUCACUGGGGUGCCUCCACUAUGCUUAUAUCAAUGUGUUGGGCCCAGAAUAGAUGUUGGUGCCCACCAAUGACCCCUCAAUGAGGAUUGCAAUGUGCUCUCCUGACUUCCUCUUCCUGAUGCCCACAAUCAGUUCCUUGGUCCUGCUGGUGAGAACACCAGAUUAGUCAAUCUCUCCUCAAGAAACCACCUUCCUUUGAACUGCUCGCAUGAAGCUGCAUGGAACUCUCUCAAUGUCGUGUAUGUUCUUUUGUAGGGCAUCUGGAAUUAUUAGUUUCUUAUUCAGCAAGUUCCAUCCAUUCAUCUACUGGUGGCUCGAAGGGACAAAGCUUCCAUAAAAAUCUUCAUAUGAGACCUGUUGUUUCAAUCAUCAUUUCCUACUGUGGAGAAAGAGAAGGCAGCACAGGAAAGUUGGGAGAUCUCUGGCAUAAAAUUGUGACAUUUGCCCAACACAAUCUGUGUGUAAAGUGCAUCGUUGCCUUGCCAGUCUCUGGGAAAGGUAUCGGAUCUAAAAGGAAUUUGUGGGACAGCUUCAGAAAUGCAGCACAAGAGCUGCCGUUGGAACUGGGACAACACGCAGAGGUUGUAGUAUGUAGCUUGCCAUGCUUAGUAUAAAGAGAUUACAAUUGGUGAUGGAACAAUCGGUAAUGAGAUUACCAAUAUUUUUAACAUUGAAAACAGAGCUUGACAGAUGCAGAGUGUAAGAUGUCAAUGUUAAAGUGCAGACCUUUUAACUGAUAACCUGAACAUUGACUUCCUUAACUUCUGUUAAUGCCCCUCCUCCCCUUCUUACCCCAUCCCUGACAUAUUCAAUUGUUUGCCUGUUCUCCAUCUCCCUCUGAUGCUCCCCCCCCCCACUUUCUUUCUCCUGAGGCCUCCCGUCCCAUGAUCCUUUCCCUUCUCCAGCUCUGUAUCAUUUUCGCCAAUCACCUUUCCAGCUCUUAGCUUCAUCCCACCUCCCUCCAGUCUUCUCCUAUCAUUUCGCAUUUCCCUUUCCCCCCACUACUUUCAAAUCUCUUACUAUCUUUCCUUUCGGUUAGUCCUGACAAAGGGUCUCGGCCCGAAAUGUCAACAGCGCUUCUCCCUGCCUGGCCUGCUGUGUUCCACCAGAUUUUUGUGUGUGUUGUUUGAAUUUCCAGCAUCUGCAGAUUUCCUCGUGGUAACUGAUAACCUGGUUAAUUUAACUAUUGCCCUCAGCAUAUUGUAUUCCUUGUUUCCUUAGGGACUUCAACGGAGACUGCAGAUUACUCAAAGACUCCAAUUUAUGCUGGCAUAGGAGGAAAUGUGCAUAAAUUUGUGGUAUCCUAAAAUUCAAGACGGACACCAGGAAAAUUUCAUGAUGUCCAAGAUGAGUUGUGUACGGAAGUCGACCACUUUUCCCAAUCUAAUCAUCAGAUGCUGCAAAUCUGAAAUUAAAACAGAAGUUGAAACAGAACUACUCAGCACAUUGGUAGAGUUUGGUUCUGACAAAGUAUCUUCAACUUGAAACGUUAACUCAGUUUUCUUUCCACAGAUACUGCCCGACCAACUGAGUGCUUCCUGCAUUUUCUGUUUCCUACCCAACUUGAUCUCUAGUCCAAUCUACCCUGUGUUAAAUUGCAUGUCUGCUCUUGAAAUAGGGACACUAAUAGCUCCAGUUUCUAGACUGUAGUACCAAUUAUUGUUUCAAGAAGUAGGUCUAAUAAGUAAAUUGAGAACACAAGGACAAAUGGGGGCUGUGAUCGCUGAAAGAAUCAGAAAGGAAUACUAAAGGGUCAAGGACAUACAGGUGCAAAGUUCAAAGUGCAUUUGUUAUCAAAGUGUGUAUGCAGUCUAUGACUGAGAUUUGUCUUCUCCACAGCCAAGAAUAGCAUCAAAAACUCCGUGCAAAAACAAUGUGCAAAUGGCACAAGAGCACCAACCCCCACUCGCAAAAAAUUGCAUUUUCGGCAACAUGAUAGAAUGGGCGAAAACACAGAAUAUAAAAACACAAAAUCAAAAGAGUCCGAUCGAACUACGGUCCAGCCCACAAACUGCAGACCCAGAACUUCAUUACCAUCCUCCGACAGCAUCAAGGAAGAGAAGUUCAACUUGAAAAAGAGGAAUUUGGUCAUAGGAAUUGAACAGGAAAGCAUUCAACAUACCACCAGAACAAAUAUGAGCUGCAUAAAAGCAAAAUGGAUAUAAUGCCAAAGGAUUCAAAAGUCCUACGUUAAAACUUUGAAAUAUGCUAAUAAAUUCACAUUAACGACCUGAUCAAAGCUGUGUGAAACUAAUGCUAAGGUUAAUGGUCUUCAAAAUGGUAAUAGAAGGUAACAAAAAUUUAGUGGCAAAAUGUAAUGCUAAAUUUGAAAGAAAUAAAAAAGGGAUCAAAUGGAGGAAAUGUUGUUGUGAAGGAAAUAUGAUUAAGAAAAAUCAUCAGCUUUCAAUGAAGUACCAGAUAUAAUUGUAGAGGAUGAAAUUAUGAUAGUGAUUUAAAGUAGUUUCCUUAAGUUGUGGGAAAAUAGGAAUAUGGAAGGAUAAGAAAGAAGAUUAUAUGCAGACAAGGAAUGUAGAAAAUGAAUUAUUUUUAAAUAUAGUCAUUGAACGUAAUAAUUGAAACCCAACAGCAAACACUAUAAUUAUAUAAAAUCUGGAAUGAGAUAUCUGAGGGAAUGACUAUAUCAGUAAUGAGAAUACAUAUGAAUUUUCAAAUAUUCUACAGAUAAAUGAUUAGUAAUUUAAGUUUUACCAUAAACCUGGGGAAGAAGUAACAGCUUUGUUCAAUAUUAAACUGUAAUUGUAGACCAGUGUGUUGACUGUAGGCAAAUCUUUACAACCAAAUUUUGUUUGCAAUCAAAUUUAUAAGACCUUACAAGGUUAUGAAAUAAUUAAAAGAACCAGUCUGGAUAUGUUAAGGGUAAGUCAUUUUUGACAGGUUUUCUUUUAACAGGCACUUAUUAGAUUGAAAAAUGUAUUUUAGAUGAGGCAGUGCAUGGGAAUUAUCAGAAGGGAUUCUGUAAUGUGCUUUACAAGUAGAAAAAAAUGUGUUCUUGUAGGAGAAAUAUAUGAACGGGAAUAGAAAAUCUGUAGACAGGAAAUUAAGAUUUCAAUUAAUUGGCUUUUGAAUAUGGAACAGUCUUUGAAUAACACAUUCCAGAAGUCAGUACUGAACUUUGUUCCCAACAUAAAUAGAUAAUUCAGACUUGGAGAAAGAUGACAUAUAAUCAGGAAAUCUACUAAUGAUGUAAAUAUUGAAGCUUUUGCUGAAAGAAAAUAGGAUUGCUAAGAAACUUUGUGCAGAAACAGGCAGGUCUGUGAAUUAGAUGCAGAGAUGACAGGUGCAAUUUCAGAUGUUGCAACAUCAAAUAUUUUUGGAGGAGUAUCAGUAAUGAGAGUACAUAUGAAUUUGCAAAUAUUCUGCAGAUAAAUGAUUAGUAAUUUGGUUUUUAUAAGCCAAGAGAAAGGAAAUAAAUAAUAGUGAAUUUAGACAAAGAAAAAUGAUCAGGGUGCAGUUUCUGUACUGUCUACAGCUUUAUAUUCCAGUUGUUGGGAGUAUAUAGAUAAUAAAUGACAUUGAUGUGCCAGAAUAAAGACAAGAAUGUGAAGCUAUUGUUAUAAGGAAAGAGUUGAGUUAUUAAGAUGAUUUCCACUAGAGUAGAAAGGCUAAUGAGGGUGGGGAUGAUGUUGAAUGCAUGGAUUUGAUAGUGGGUAUUUGAAACAAAGAAGAGUAUUGAUUUUGUUCCAUAUUUGUACUUAUUUCUUUAAUAAGGGAUGUUUGGGGAGAGAGAAAGAAGGGAGUGAAAUAAGUGCCACCAUCAAUCUAAUUUCCUUGGAGUGUGACGAGAAAGGUUAGCAACAAUAUCUUAUCACAAAAGCUCUUUGAUGGGAUUUAUUAACUGAACGUGAAUUGUUUUUUUAAUGUUAUCACUCAUUUAGAAACUAUAAGAUAUAGGAGCAGAAUCAGGACAUUUGGCCCAUUGAGUCUGCUCCGUUAUUUCAUCAUGGCUGAUUCAUUUUCCCUCUCAGCCCCAAUUUGCUGCCUUCUCCACGUACCCCUUCAUGUCCUGACCAAUCAGGAAUCUGUUAACCUCAGUCUUAAAUGUACCCAAUGACUUGGACUCCAAAGCUGCCUGUGGCAAAGAAUUCCACAGGUUCACCACUCUGUGGCUAAAGAAAUUCCUCCUCGUCUCCAUUCUAAAGGGACACUCCUCUAUUCUGAGGCUGUGUCCUUUGGCCUUAGACACUUAACCACAGGAAAUAUCAAUAAUGAAAAAUAAAGUUUAUUUUAUGUUCAUUGGAGUAUGAAUUAAGAGGGGUGUCCUUAUAGAGGUGUAUAACUCAAAGGAGCAUAGACCGGGUGAUUAUGCACAGUCUCUUACAGGGUUGAGGAGUCAAAAAAAAGAUACUGAUUUAGGGUGGGAGGGGAUUUACUAGGAAUCUGAGAGGCAACUUUUUCACCCUGAGGCUAGUCAGUGUAUGGAAUAAGCUGUCAGAGGAAAUGGUUGCGAGAGGUACAUUAACAACAUUUAAAAAGCACCUGGAUAGAAAAGGGUUAGAGGGAUAUGUGCAAAACAAGGACAAAUGAGACUAACCUAAAUGGAAACCUUUGCUGGCUUGGAGCCUCAGGGGCCUGCUUCCAUGCAGUACAAGCCAGUGCUCCUAUAGUUUUCUGGAAAGAAUAUCCAGACUGAGGCAGUUUGAAAUAAAUUACGGAUGUCAGUUGUAAACUGUUUCAUGAAUAAGGUAGUUUUGUUGCUUCAUGACUCCAAGAAAAUGGGUUUAAUCUUGAAGUCAGGUGCACUAGUUACCUCCCUGUGACGAGAGACCCGGGCAAGGGUGGUUGGGACCCAUUUGCUGGAGCAUCUGAGACUAGAAUCGAGGCACGGUACGAGACUGAAAUGAAGACAGGGUUCUAAACUAGAUGCUAAAUGAGAAACCAAAACUGAGCUGAUGACUGAGCACCAAACCUCAGUCCAGAUGCUCUUUAAAUAUUAAAAUUCUGGUGCCAAAACAUGGCCGCCAGUUAGCAGGGCGGCCUGAAUCUUUAAAGGGGCCGCAUUAGCUAUUCUCAUUCUGGAGAGUUAGAGCGUCUAAACCUGGAAGUUAUCGCGGUUGGGUGCUCGUCGUAGUAGGACCCCCUUCCCUAUGGCCGACUCCUGACGGCCCUGGCUGCUCAGAGAGACAAUGAUGGUAGUCAUUCAUGAGAGCCACAGGUUCAGGAACCCACCACAGUUCCUUGGGUCUGAAUCAUUCCCAGUCCAUAAAGAACUGCUGAACUCUCCAAACAGUUUGUGAAUCCAAAAUUCUUCUCACCUUGGAGACCUGCUCCCCAUCAAUAAUCCUGGAUGGUGGCGGUGGGACUGAUGGUGGUGGGGCUAAAGACCUGGUGUUCACAUGUUUUAAUUUGGGAAUAAAGGAAGUGCAAUUGAUCUCGAAGGUCUUGGGAGCUGCAAGGUGUAAGCCACCAGGUUUAACUUCUUAAGAAUCUUGAAGGGUCCAAUGAACUUGGGUGCCAAUUUCUUAGACUCCACCUGGAGAAACACAUCCUGGGUCAAUAGCGAUCUGUUCCCUAGGCUGUAAAACUGCUCCCUGCUUUCUCUUUCAGUUAGUCUUUAUUUCAAUCUUCCAGGAAGAAGCUAACAAAAUCUCCCUUGUCCGAUUCCAUUUCUCCUUGCAAAUGUGGUCUUCAACCCCAGGAACCUCAACCUUGGCCUCCUGCUCAGGGAAGAGUGGUGGAGAACACCCAAACUGGCAUUUUAAAGGGCACUGAAUGCCAUAAAAUCGAGUUGGCGAUCUCUGUCCACAUCAAAUGGUCACACCAUUCAUUCUGUCUUUUGUGGCAUCUCAGGGUUCAUUCCAAAUCUUAGUCCACCCACUCCUUCUCGCCAUUGGACUAUGGUGAAAGACUUGCUGUUGCUCCACUCAGCUUACAGAACACCCUCUAAAAAUGUGACACAAACUGAAGACAGUAUUCUGACACAAUAUCCAUGGGAAAACCAUGGAUCCUGAAGAACUGGUGCAGGACAAUUUCAGCCAUCUCUGCCUCAGAUAGUAGUCUGUUCAAGGCUAUCAAUUUGCAGGCCUUCAAACAACGAUCCGCAAUUACCAUAGUAACAUUUUUCCCACUGGAAUGAGGAAGACCUGUGACAAAGUCCAUGGAAAUGUGUGCCUAUGCUCUGGUGGUGAAGUUGCCCUUGAGGUUAGGUGUGGGGCUCCUUGUUCCAGAUGUACACCUCACGUGCGUACACACACUGACAGGCUACCCUCACCAUUCCAGGCCACCAAUACCUUCUCUAAAUGAACUCGAGGGUCCUGGCAAUCCCUCGGUGAGUGGUCAUUCUUGAUGCAUGUCCCCAAUGAAGAACCUGAGACCAGAUGGAACAAUGAGCAAACAGCAGACCCAAAGAGCCAUUCUGAGAAAUCUCCCCUUGUACCUGAGCUUCGUGAACAAGUGUGUUGAUUCCCCAAUGAAUUGGCACUAUCACCUUGGCUUGGGGCAAAUUGGCAGUAGGCUGCUCCCCUCAUCCGGAUUUGUUGAACUGACGGGACAAAGCAUCUAAUUUUUGGUAUUUUGACCCUGUUCAAUAGUUCAGGCCAAAAUUAAAGUGGUUAAAGAAAAGAGCCAGCUGGUCUGCCUGGAAUUCAGCCUCUUAGCCUCGUGAAUAUAAACUAGAUUCUUGUGGUCUGUCCAUAUGAUAAAAGGGGUACUAGCCCCCUCAAGCUAGUACCUCCAUUUCUCCACAGCACUUUGACCAUGAACAGCUCUUUAUUUCCAUUGUCGUAGUUCAUCUCCGCCAGGGAUAGUCACGUGGAGAAGAAGGCACCUGGGUGCAGUUUAUUGUCCAAAGGUGUUUGUUGAGACGAAACUACACCCUCUCCAAUGUCUGAGGCAUCCACCUCCAUGAUGAAGUGAAGGUCCAGGUUGGGAGCGACCAAAAAACUGUUGUGAACCGCUGUUUAAGGUCUGCAAAAGCAGCCUCCGCUUCUAAGCAAUAGGGCCCAUGGAUCUCUCCGGUCGAGCUGUCAGCGGAGCCGCCACUGAACUGAAGCUUCUGAUGAACUUUCAGUAAGAGGUAGCAAAUCCCAGGAACUGUUGGUCUUGUUCCACGUUGGAUAGUUGUGGCCUUUCCCCGACUGCUAGGGUCCAUCUUGAGAUUGCCAUUAAAGAUGAUGAAAUCCUAAAAUGAAGUGGUGGCUAGGUGAAAUUUGGACUUCUCCAGCUUGACAUGAAUUCCCUGAUCAAGGAGCCUCUUUAGGACAUCUCUGAGGUGAGUGACGUACUCCUCCGUGGACUUAGAGAAAAUUAGGGUAUUGUCGAAGUAGACAAAAGUGUACGUAUGGAGAGCAUCCUGGAGUGUGCCGUUCAUGAAGGCCUGGAAAGCUGCUGGUGCGUUCACAAAGCCAAAGGGGUCGACCAGGUACUCAGUGUCCUGUUGGUGUGUUGGACGCCAUCUUCCACUCAUCACCCUCAUUUAUGCAAACCAGUUUGUAUGCACUCCGCAAGUCUAGCUUUGAGAAUACUCUUGCCCCUUGGAGAAUCUCGAAGGCAGUGUUCAUGAGUGGAAGAGGGUAACGAUUCUGGAUGAUUAUGUAAGUCAGUCCUCUCUAAUCAAUGCAUAACCUGGAACCUCUUGUUUAAUUUCUUGUUUUAUUUCCACUGUUUCUGGCUCAGUUUCUUCCUCUUCUUCUUCUGCAGGCCCCUGUCUUUUUCUGUAUGAAGAAGAAGCCAUUAGUGGUGGGACAGGAGGAGGGCUGAAUGAAUCCCAGGGCAAAACCCUCUUUUGUAUACUCUCCCAUUGCGCCUCUCUCUGGGUCUGAGUGUGUGUAUAAUCAACCACGAGGAGGACAAGCAUCCAGCAGUUGACCUGUAGCACAGACAUAGUGUCAGUGUGGUGCAGUGCAAGAUUCAGGGCCUUUCCUUUGCUGAAGACCUCUUCCAAAUCCUUGUAGACGGAUAGGAUUUCUACCAGCUUGCGUGCGGCAAUCACCCCCAGAAUCUUCCUUUGAGGAUGACUCCCGAGGCUUCUUGGGUAGUGGGGGUGACUCUGCAGACCCCAGUGUCUCUUCCAUAGGUUCACAAGAGUCUAUACUGCAAGCAGAGGCCAACUCAGAGUCCAAAACCUUGUCCGUAUCCUCAGACAUCAGCAGUGAGAUGUGACAAAUGGUCCUUGUGCUCCUGGGACUAGUUUUUUGGAACUAUUCUGGAAACUUCUCCUUAAGGCUGAUUUAUACUUCUGCGUCAAAUGAACGCCAUAGGUAUGGCAUAGCUGCAUAACUUACGCUGUACCCUACGCCCUACCCCACACCAUAGUCUGAUGUGCACCUCUCCAAAAAUGUAACUGCGCAUCGCGGCGACGCAGACCGCAACAACUGUGAUUGGUCCGCUUGGUAGCAUCGCAUUUCCUCCUGUCUAUGGGCAUACUGUGCAUACGCUGAUGCGAAAUAAAUGGUUGGAGACGAUGAACCAAAUUGUCAAAUCUACCUGCCAACAUCCGAAAAUAUUUGAAAUACAUUUCCUUGUCCAUGUCUCUCAGUGGCCAGACGAGCACAGAAAAUUCACCCUCCCUCUGCCUCAAUCUGUUCAAUGGCCGUACACACCAUCUCCUCCGUCAUAUUCUCUCUUUUCUGCAUUGCUGUAAUUUCAACAAAAGUAACCCUUGCUCAACAUUUAUUAACUCCAACUCCAACAUGAUGCAGUCAGUCGCUAUUAGAAACCCCACCGCCAACUAGCGUUUUGGUGGUGAAUUGCAGAGCAAUGUAGACACGCCAACGCACAGGUAUAAAUUUUCAUAAUGGUGCAGGCCACUAACGAAGGCUGCGGUGUAGGCUGCUACGCAGAAGCAUAAAUCAGCCUUUCGAUGGGUCCUGGCAACUGGAACCCUUUGAGUUAGUUGCUAGAGUUCCAGACCUCCUUGGCUUGCUUCUGAACUAGAGGUCCACUCUCUUUAGUUCCAGCUCAUCCACUAUUGGACUUGCGGGAGCCAACGUGUCUGCCCUUGAAGGCAGAACUGGGUUUCCUGAACGCUCCAGAUUACUGUGAACAGAAGUCUUCCCCCAGUCGGCUGCUGGUCUUGGGAGAGUCUGGGAUUCGGAACACCAAGCUGAAAACAUACCUUCUUGCUGUGACUGGACCAUGCGAUGAUCUUCUCUUCCUUCCAAUUCAUGGACGGGUUAUUCUGGGGCAGACAAGGGUGCCCGAGGAUCAGAGGUACGUGAGGAGAUUCAAUGAUAUUGAGACUUAUGGCCUCUGAAUGAUCUUCUAUCCUCAUCUGCAAGACCAAUGGCUGCGGCCGGGCCUGCCGGGAACUAAGCAGAAGGCCAUCCUGAACAGUUACGGGCAUGGGCUGGCUCGACUCCUGCUGUGUUAGGUUGAGUGGAUGGGCAGUCCGCAAGUUCAGGUAACUUUCAGCUGCCCCAGAGUCGAAAAAGCAUUCACCUCUUGUCGGCUGUUACCCCAGGAGAUCUUUGCCUUAAGGGUGACAGCAGAAUCCGUGAGGCUGGCAGUAAUGGCUGCUGCCAUCACAGUCCUCUUGACACUGGACGGUCUUAUCAGGUUUCUCAACAGCUGACGCUCUGGACAGUCAGCCUGCAGGUGACCUGCUUCCCCACAAUGUUAGCAGCAACCUCAAUUCCCACGGAGAUUCUUAUGUAACUAAUUUGCAUGGACUUGACAUGACCCUCAGCAGCAGUCAGGCUGUUUAUUGUCCGACGUUGGGGGGCAUAGAACUGUGAUGCAUUGAGGCCAAACUUGGGUUAGCUCUCUACAGCUUCUUGAAGUUGUCGCACUCUUGCUCCACCAGGUGAUUAUCAAGGCUGGUCAGUCUGAGCCUCUAAGUCCUCUGAAAGCUCCCCCAAAGCAAGGGCAUUCUUUACUUUACCUUAAAAUCUACGGUGGUACAGAGUAACCAAGGCCUCCCCAUUCCAGCCACUCUCUUGGGCCAAAGUUCGAAAGGCAAUGGCGUAGUCAGCUGCUGACCGACUGCUGUGACAGGUCAGAGGCUCGGUUAGCUCCAGAAGGAUAAUGAAACACCCUCCCCAUGGAGGCCUUGAACCCCUCUGAAUCUGAGAAAAAUUCUCCAACCUUCACUCCCAAAACAGUGACCCAGGCUAGACCUUUCCCAGUCAGGAGAGAGAUCAUGAAAACCAUCUUUUCUGCACUCCAUAGGGAACUGGGCUGACUGGAGUUCGGACACCAAUGAACACUGAGUAAGGAAGCCGUGGCAGGAGUCCGACUCACUGCCGAAUCCCUCCGGGAUCGGAAGAUGUGCUGGCUCCACAGUGCGACCAGAAAACCUCACUCCAACGACUCUGGCUUCCUCCUGUGAUAGUUGGCACACAGUGACCUGGAGAUCACGCAUCCCCAGGCUCUGUCUGAAAUUUUUUCGCUGAAAGGCUCCGAUACCCUGCUGGGUCCAUGUUGGCUCCGUCAUACUGUGAUGAGAAACCUAAGUUAGGACCCAAGUUAUGGAGCAUCAGAGACUAGAAUCAAUGAAUGACACAAGACUGAAAUGAAGACAGGGUUCUAAACUAGAUGCUAGAUGAGAGUCCAAAACUGAGCUGACGAUCAUCAGUUCAGGUGCUCUUUAAAUAUUAAAUCCUGGAACUAAAACAUGGCCGCCAAUUAGUGGGCCACCCUGAACCUUUAAAGGAGCCAUGCCAGCUACUCAUAUCCUGAAGAUUUAGAGUGUCUAAACCCCAGAAGCUGGCACGGUAGGAUACAUGUCAAAACACUCCCUAUGUGCUGGUAGGUUAUUUAGGACUUGUUUUGGGUUACAAAUUAGUAUGAGUUGAUAGCAAAAAGAAUCAAAGGGUGCUGAUAUGUGAGAGAGGAAAACUUGUGGAAGUAGAAGGAGAUGAGCAGAGUAAAACGGGACCGAUCAGGUUGCUUCCCGGGAGUCAGAAUUGAACAGAGGAACUGAAUGGUUUCCUUCUGCAUUGUUUAAUGGAGUUAUAAAAAACUAUAGCACGGAAACAGGCCCUUUGGCCCGUCUAGUCUAUACCAAUCUUUCAAGCUGCCUACUCCCAUUGACCUGCACCAGGACCAUAGCCCUCCAUGCCCCUACCAUCCAUGUACUUAUUAUCCAGACUUCUCCUAAAUGUUGAAAUUGGUCUAGCAUGCACCACUUUUGCUGACAGCUCAGCAACACACUGGUGACUCUGAGUUCCUCUCAUGUUCCCCUUAAACCUUUCACCUUUCACCCUUAACCCAUAACCUCUGGUUGUAGUCCCAUUUCUCAAUGGAAAAAGCAUAGGCAUUUGCCCUAUCUAUAUCCCUCAUAAUUUUAUAUAGCUCUAGCAAAUCUCCUCUCAAUCUUCUACAUUUUAGGAAAUAAAGUCCUAAACUAUUCAAUCUUUCGUUAAAAGUCAGGUCCUCCAGACCCAGCAAUAUCCUUGUAAAUUUUCUCUGUACUCUUUUAACCUUGUUUUCAUCUUUCCUGAAGGUAGGUGACCAAAACUGCACACAAUACUCUGAAACAGGCCUAACCAAUGUCCUAUACAACUUCAACAUAACAUCCCAACUCCUUUACUCCAUACUUUCAUCUAUGAAGGCCACCUUAUGUAUAAAAAUAUGUAGCUUUUGUUGGUACAUUAGUAUCUCUGGUGCCAUGGAAUGUGAAUAUGGGAGAUAGGAACAUAGAAAACCUACAGCACAAUACAGGCCCUUCGGCCCACAAAGUUGUGCCGAACAUGUCCUUACCUUAGAAAUUACUAGGCUUACCCAUAGCCCUCUAUUUUACUAAGCCCCAUGUACCUAUCCAAAGUCUCUUAAAAGACCUUAUCACAUCCACCUCCACCACCAUUACCAGCAGCCCAUUCCAUGCACUCAUCACUCUCUGCGUAAAAAACUUACCCCUUCAGAAAUCCCAAGUAUUUAAUCUCAAACAUGGCACCCGCCAGGGAUGCCCCUUGUCCCUUUCUCUUUGAUUUGGCUAUGGAACUUCUGGCGAUAGCAUUUCGAAACUGCCCUGAAUUGACUGGGAUUUGGAGAGGGGGUGUUGAGCAUAAAGUUUCUCUCUAUGCUGAUGACUUAUUACUCUUUCUCUCAAAUCCGUCUACAUCCUUACCUCUAAUGUUUUCACUUCUUGACCAGUUUAGCCAGAUCUCUGGCUAUAAACUUAAUUUACAUAAGAGUGAACUUCUCCCAAUUAAUAAAGAAGCACAAGAACUAACAUUUCAUGAUCUCCCUUUGAAAGUAGUCCAUAAUCAAUUUACUUAUCUUGGAAUUACAGUCACAAGGAAGUUUAAAGAUCUCUUUAGUGAAAACUUUGCCAAUCUUUCAUAUGCUAUAAAACAUAUACUGUCUGGUACAUAGUCUGGUAAACAUAGUCUGGUACAAUGGUAACCUCUAUCUAUGUCUUUGCUAGGUCGUAUUAACGUUGUUAAAAUGUAUGUUCUCCCCAAAUUUUUAUACCUAUUUCAAUCUAUCUCAAUUUUUAUUCCUAAAUCUUUUUUUGAUUCCUUAGACUCUAUUAUUUUGUCAUAUCUGUGGUAGAAUAAGCGCUCUAGAAUUAAUAAAAUCCAUCUCCAAAAAUCUAAAAAAGAGGGUGGCAUGGCUUUACCUAACUUUCGUUUAUAUUAUUGGGCAGCUAAUAUACGUUGUGCUUCCUUCUGGUCUUUCUUCCAUGGCCAACCCGAAUGCCCUAACUGGGUGGCGAUGGAGCUGAGCUC